Molecule: ribosomal RNA, 843 nt
Filed under: uncultured Sporosarcina sp.
Lineage: Bacteria; Bacillati; Bacillota; Bacilli; Caryophanales; Caryophanaceae
Description: bacterial SSU rRNA
Rfam family: Bacterial small subunit ribosomal RNA
Source: RNAcentral
CAAGUCGAGCGGAUUGAAGGGAGCUUGCUCCCUGAUAUUAGCGGCGGACGGGUGAGUAACACGUGGGCAACCUGCCCUGCAGAUGGGGAUAACUCCGGGAAACCGGGGCUAAUACCGAAUAAUCGGUUCUUCCGCAUGGAAGAACUCUGAAAGACGGUUUCGGCUGUCACUGCAGGAUGGGCCCGCGGCGCAUUAUCUAGUUGGUGGGGUAACGGCCUACCAAGGCGACGAUGCGUAGCCGACCUGAGAGGGUGAUCGGCCACACUGGGACUGAGACACGGCCCAGACUCCUACGGGAGGCAGCAGUAGGGAAUCUUCCACAAUGGACGAAAGUCUGAUGGAGCAACGCCGCGUGAGCGAAGAAGGUUUUCGGAUCGUAAAGCUCUGUUGCGAGGGAAGAACAAGUACGGGAGUAACUGCCCGUACCUUGACGGUACCUCGUCAGAAAGCCACGGCUAACUACGUGCCAGCAGCCGCGGUAAUACGUAGGUGGCAAGCGUUGUCCGGAAUUAUUGGGCGUAAAGCGCGCGCAGGCGGUCCUUUAAGUCUGAUGUGAAAGCCCACGGCUCAACCGUGGAGGGUCAUUGGAAACUGGAGGACUUGAGUACAGAAGAGGAAAGCGGAAUUCCACGUGUAGCGGUGAAAUGCGUAGAGAUGUGGAGGAACACCAGUGGCGAAGGCGGCUUUCUGGUCUGUAACUGACGCUGAGGCGCGAAAGCGUGGGGAGCAAACAGGAUUAGAUACCCUGGUAGUCCACGCCGUAAACGAUGAGUGCUAAGUGUUAGGGGGUUUCCGCCCCUUAGUGCUGCAGCUAACGCAUUAAGCACUCCGCCUGGGGAGUAC